AGUGAACGCUGGCGGUAGGCCUAACACAUGCAAGUCGAACGGCAGCACAGUAAGAGCUUGCUCUUACGGGUGGCGAGUGGCGGACGGGUGAGGAAUACAUCGUAAUCUACUUUUUCGGGGGGGAUAACGUAGGGAAACUUACGCUAAUACCGCAUACGACCUACGGGUGAAAGCAGGGGAUCUUCUGACCUUGCGCGAUUGAAUGAGCCGAUGUCGGAUUAGCUAGUUGGCGGGGUAAAGGCCAACCAAGGCGACGAUCCGUAGCUGGUCUGAGAGGAUGAUCAGCCACACUGGAACUGAGACACGGUCCAGACUCCUACGGGAGGCAGCAGUGGGGAAUAUUGGACAAUGGGCGCAAGCCUGAUCCAGCCAUACCGAGUGGGUGAAGAAGGCCUUCGGGUUGUAAAGCCCUUUUGUUGGGAAAGAAAAGCAGCAGGUUAAUACCCCGCUGUUCUGACGGUACCCAAAGAAUAAGCACCGGCUAACUUCGUG
Molecule: ribosomal RNA, 492 nt
Filed under: uncultured bacterium
Lineage: Bacteria
Description: partial 16S ribosomal RNA
Rfam family: Bacterial small subunit ribosomal RNA
Source: RNAcentral